RNAcentral lists this ribosomal RNA (253 nucleotides) under uncultured bacterium. RNAcentral's name for it is "partial 16S ribosomal RNA". It matches the Rfam family "Bacterial small subunit ribosomal RNA", at positions 524 to 776 of the family's 1533-position model. The record is from RNAcentral.
UACAGAGGGGGCAAGCGUUAUUCGGAAUUAUUGGGCGUAAAGGGCGCGUAGGCGGCUUGGCAAGUGGAUGGUGAAAUCCCUCGGCUUAACCGAGGAACUGCCGUCCAAACUGCUUUGCUUGAGACCGGGAGAGGUGAGUGGAAUUCCCAGUGUAGCGGUGAAAUGCGUAGAUAUUGGGAGGAACACCAGUGGCGAAGGCGGCUCACUGGACCAGUACUGACGCUGAGGCGCGAAAGCGUGGGGAGCGAACAGG